RNA transcript from Peromyscus leucopus (white-footed mouse), 4010 nucleotides. It is a transcript of the gene named zinc finger protein 420-like, with no coding region annotated. The record is from RefSeq and is a predicted model, not a curated record. The transcript has 5 exons. NCBI's taxonomy places the organism in Eukaryota, Metazoa, Chordata, Mammalia, Rodentia, Cricetidae.
AACAAGGACUCUGGGAAGGGCGCUUCCGCGUUCCUUCUGCGCCUGUGCGUUCUGCUCUCUGGCCGUCUUCUCCAAAGUUGGGCCAGUGUCGCGGGUCCUCUUGGCGCUCUGGUAGCAUCUCUGACAUGGAGGGACUGCUCUCCUUCAGGGAUGUGGCCAUUGAUUUCUCUGCAGAGGAGUGUGAAUGCCUGGACCUUGCUCAGUGGAAUCUGUACAGGGAUGUGAUGCUGGAGAAUUACAGCAACCUUGUAUUCCUGGGUCUAGCUUUUUCUAAGCCAUAUUUGGUGACAUUUCUCGAGCAAAGAAAAGAGCCAUGGAAUGUGAAGGGACCAGCCCCAGUUGCUGUAUACCCAGAAAUAAAACCUUAUAAAUUUAAAGAAUGUGGCAAGACCUUUCCUUGGAAUUCACUUCUUAUCCAACAUCAUAAAACUCACGCUGGAGAAAAGCUUUACAAAUGUGGUGAAUGUGGCAAGGCCUUUAAUGUUCGCUCAACACUUUAUAAACACCAGAGAAUUCAUACUGGAGAGAAACCCUACAAAUGCAAAGAAUGUGGCAAAGGUUUUACAUGUUCUUCAAGCCUUAACCAACACCACAGAAUUCAUACUGGAGAGAAACCCUACAAAUGUCAAUGUGGCAAAGCCUUUAAUAAUUCUUCAGCUCUCACUCAGCACCAAAGAAUUCAUACUGGAGAAAGACCAUACAAGUGUGAAGAAUGUGGCAAAGCCUUUAAUAAUUGCUCAGCCCGUACGCGACACCAAAGAAUUCAUACUGGAGAGAGACCCUACAGAUGUGCAGCUUGUGGCAAGACCUUCAAUUUUCCCACAUCACUUUCUCAACAUCAGAGAAUUCAUACUGGAGAGAAACCCUACAAAUGUGAAGAAUGUGGCAAAGCCUUUAACUGUUCUUCACAUCUUAAACAACACCGAAUUAUUCAUACUGGAAAGAAACCCUACAAAUGUAAAGAAUGUGACAAAGCUUUUAACUGUUCUUCAAGUCUUAACCAACACCGUAGAAUUCACACUGGUGAGAAACGCUACAUAUGUGAGGAAUGCGGCAAAGCCUUUAAUAAUUGUUCAGCUCUUACUCAACACCAAAGAAUCCAUAGUGGAGAGAAACCCUUCAAGUGUGAAGAAUGUGGCAAAGCCUUUUAUAAUUGCUCGGCCCUCUCUCGACACCACAAGAUUCACACUGGAGAAAAACCCUUCAAAUGUGCAGAUUGUGGCAAAGCUUUUAUUUUUCGUUCAUCACUUUCUCAGCACCAGAGAAUUCACACUGGAGAGAAACCCUACAAAUGCAAAGAAUGUGGGAAAGCCUUUAACUGUUCUUCACACCUUAACCAACAUGGAAGAAUUCACAGUGGAGAGAAACCUUAUAAAUGUGAAGAGUGUGGCCAGACGUUUAUCUGUUCAUCAUACCUACAUAAGCAUCAGAAGAUUCAUACUAUUGAAAAACUCUAUGAAUGCAAAGAAUGUGGUAAAACCUUUAGCUGUUCUUCAUACCUUAAAUAUCACCAGAGAUUUCAUACUGGGGGGAAAUCUUACACAUGCAAAGAAUGUGACAAAACCUUUAGGUCCUCUUCAUACCUUAGGAAUCAUCAGAGAUUUCACACUGGAGAGAAACCCUACACAUGCAAAGACUGUGGCAAAGCCUUUGUUAAUUCUUCAAGCCUUCUUGUACACCAAAGAAUUCAUACUGGAGAGAAACCAUACAAGUGCAAAGACUGUGGCAAGGCUUUUAGGUGUUCUUCUUAUUUUAAGUAUCACCAGAGACUUCAUACUGGAGAGAAACCCUAUACAUGCAAAGAAUGUGGCAAAGCCUUUGCUAAAUCUUCAUGUCUUAUUCUACACCAAAGAAUUCAUACUGGGGAAAAGCCCUACAAAUGUGCGGAGUGUGGCCAGGCCUUUAUCUGUUCCUCAUACCUGAGGAAGCAUCAGCGAAUCCAUACUGGUGAGAAACCUUAUACAUGUGAAGAAUGUGGCAAAGCUUUUAGUAUUUACUCAACCUUCAUUCAACACCAGAGAAUUCAUACCGGAGAAAAACCUUACAAAUGCAAGGAAUGUGACAAAGCAUUUAAUAAUCAUUCAGCUCUUAUAAAGCAUCAAAGAAUUCAUACUGGAGAGAAGCCCUACACAUGUAAAGAAUGUAAUAAAGCCUUUAAUAAUAGCUCAAGCCUUAUUCGACAUCAACGAAUUCAUACUGGAAUUGAAACCCUAGACGUUCAAGGAAUGUGGCAAGGCCUUUAAUAAUAAUAGUUCAACUCUUAGCCUCCCAAACUCACAGUAGUAAGAAAGUAAAAUGGAAAAAAAGGUGACAAAUAAGUGUUUUAUACAUAUACAAGUGUAAAAAUUCAUGCAUGAAAGAAACCCUACAAGUUUAAAUAGUGUUGCAAGUCUGUUAGUGCUUCUUCUUAUCUUGAUAGCAGAAGAUUUGUACUGGGGAGCCCUAAAAAUAUAUCAGGGAUUUUAAUGAAUGUUCACUCCUCAUCACUGAAUUCAUGCUUCAUGGAAAUCUUAGCACUUACUGACUUUGGAAUGACCUCUGUCCAAUAUGUGUGAGCAAAAUAGUUAUGCCAGAACAAAUGAGGGGCAUGGAGUUCCAAAGAGAAGAGUGAAGACACAAGAAAGGAAAUAUGCUAAGAACAUCUAAGAGCCAAGGCUUUGCUGCCACUGGAGGACAGGUACCUGCUGAACUUCUAGAAAGCCAUUCUACUUAAGCAGGAACGAAUGCUCCACCCAUGAUCUCCUCAAUCCCUGCUACCUUUCUUCCCUCCCUCACCACCAUCACCACUACCACUCCCACCUACACACACACACACACACACACACACACACACACACCACCACACACACACACACACACACACACACACACACUCGUGGUCUUGUUUAAAUUCUCAUGUUGUAAAUCAGCAAUCUGCAUUGUGUCAUUGCUAAUUAACACAACAAUGCCUAAUUAUUAGUACCCAGUAUAAAAAAUUAAAUAUUAAGGGAAGCUCAAGUUCACAAGUACAGUAAAAUUUUAUGUUAAAUAUUUAUUGAAUAUUUACAUUGCAAUUACAGAAAUCCAUCUAGGGGCAUUAUAACUAUGACCCUUUUUUACUUUAUUAAGUACAGUCUGCCUACAAUUCAAGGAAAUUACAUCUUAAACUGCCUUCCACUGUAGGGUAUUAUUAGCUACACUGUGGAAUGAUAUAAUUGAAGAGCUUUAUUCUGCUAUACCCAAGAUACAUAAUAUCAUAUCAAAGUAAGUAAAAUAGAACUUCAUUUUAGUAACCACUCUUGUCACCUUUCUGUGGUUCAUGUUGCUUUGGACUGGAGUUUGUAAGCAAACAGAAGACCACUCCUUUUCUCAAAGCAAUCUCUCCCCAAAACCACGUAUUUGCAUUUAUGUACCAAAACUAUUGUUAAUCCAAACAAGAUAGCAACAAAUGGGUUGUAUUGACUGUCAAUCACUUAUACCUAGUUGACCAGUAAAGUGAAAUAGCUUUUUGUCCUCUAGUCAUUAUCUUCCUUCCUUGACCUGCCAUUGUCCCACAUGACCUCCACAUGUGCACCAGAGAGCAUAACUGCACUGACAUACACUAAUGCACAUGCGCACGCGUGCGCGCAACACAUGCGCACCACAGACACUUCAAAAAAGAAAAAAAAAUGUGAGCUGAGUGCCCACACUUUGAUUAAAUAAAUAUUUUCAUCUAUAUUGUCUUAUUCAAAGUGUUUUAUUUGUCAUUUCCCUCCAUGAUGUCUAUUAGUGAAUUUUUAUGGUCCGCUCCCUUUGGGGGAGAUUAGUAAAAGCUUUACCCAGAAGACAGCCUAUUUGUAGGAUGUGUCCUUAAGAAGGAAAUCUGUGCUGCCCAAGCAAGCAAUUUUAGGUAAGGAAGCCCCUGGCAAGAGCUCAUGACACAUCUCUGCAUGUACCAUUCAUUAUAUUGUUUGGUAUUACUGUCAUCAAAUGUGAAUAAGCCAUGCAUGACACUUAUUUUACAAGGUACUCAGAAAAGGAGAUCACACUGU